RNAcentral lists this ribosomal RNA (2409 nucleotides) under Triticum aestivum (bread wheat). Its description in RNAcentral is "partial small subunit ribosomal RNA". Lineage: Eukaryota; Viridiplantae; Streptophyta; Magnoliopsida; Poales; Poaceae. The record is from RNAcentral.
AUGGGUAGAGGAGGGGCUGUUAUCCAUUGCAGCUAUUGUGGUGCUGCAGGCCACAAUAUUGGAGGAUGCACUGAUUUCAAGCUUGGUUUGAGACCAAAGAAAAAGGGCAAGAUAGUUAGAGCCGAGCCACCAGUUUCCUCUGAUUCAGAAAAUGAGGAUCCUGUCCUAACACAGGAGCAAAAUAUGCACACAAUGGCUUUGAGUCAACCAGAACAUACUCCAUAUGAAGCAGAGGUCAUUUCUACAUUGAUUGUUGAGACGCAGUCACGCCAGAGACAAAAUGUGCAGCCAACUGCUUUACCAGAAAAUGCUUUCAUUCAAGCAAAUGUCCAAAUGCAGCCCCCUAUGCAGGAGACAACUGCCACAAUCCAUGGAAAUGUUCAUAGGAAGAGAGAGGUUUUAGCUUUGGCCAAAUUGAAGGCAGCUGCUGAGAGAAGGGAGGUUGCGGAUCAAGCCAAAUUUAAUGCAGCAAUGGCAAAGCUUAGAGAAGAAGAGAACAAAUUAAUGAUAGCAGCUCAGCGGAGAAAGCAAGAGAUGGAAGAAAAGAGGCAAGGUGCUAAAGAGAGGAAAAAAGCAAUACUGGAGGAGAAAAAGUUAGCAGCCGAGGCAAGAAAAAGAGCUGCUGAAGAAAAAAAAAGGAAAGCUCAAGAGGAGAAAUUUGCACUUGCCGAGGCAAAAAGAAUUCAAGAAGAGAAGAAGAGAGAGGCAGAGCAAGCAUAUGAAAGGGAGGAAAUGAAUUUCCUGUUCAUGCAACAAGAGGAGCAAGAAAGGCAGCAGAGAUGGAAAGAAUAUCAGCAGCAAGAGGAGAAAGAAAAGCAAAAGUCCUGCGAGGAGCAGAUGCAAGCAAAAGAAAAAACAUGCGAGACAGAGGUUAAUAGGGUUCAAACUACUCCAGUAAUGGAAGAGGAGGUUAAUAGGCCUCAAUCAUCUACAACAAGGAAAGCCUUUGAGGAGAAAAAAAAGCUAGAUGAUAUGGCAGCAAUGAGGUUAAGAGCUGAUGAGGAGAGGUAUAGGGCAUGGCUGCAAAAAGAGAAGGAAAUGGACCAAGCAAAUGGUCAACAAGGCACUUCCAACAAAAGAAGUCUUCCAAGCCAGCAAAACACUCAAUUUAAGAUGCCAAGAAAAUUUCUUCUGGACUAUUAUGUAGUUGAAACCAUGUUUAUUUUUCCACAUGAUCAUCUUAUGUUCAUGAUCAUGGUGCCCAGGAUAAAAUGCAGUGCAACACCAAAUGGUACAGCACAUAACCAUAUAAUGCCUGCACUGUGCAUAUACAUGUACUGUUCAUGCUCAUACAUUGCCCAGAGGGCAGCUCGAUGUCAAUCAGCUUGCCGUGAAGCUCCUUCAGCACGCCCAUGCGAAGUCCGGCUCACACGCACCGUCAGGGAGGCCUUCAUUGCAGGCACGGCUCGGCUCCGGCCGAAGACAUGGUGGCUCUCCGCGGCGCCACACCUGCUGCGGGAAACCCACCCGUGCACGCUGACGGUGGACGGUGGAAUCGCAGGCGCGGGCCACUGUUGGGCUAGCUUUGCCUCCGCCUGCACAGGAAGCGGCGCUCAUGCUCUAGCCGGGGCGGGUGACGGCUGGGACAGCUUCGCCUCCGCCCGCAUAAGAAGGAAGGGGCCGGCGCAGGCUGGGACAACACUGUCUCGGCCCGAAGGACUCCUACUCUUGCCGGGGCCGGGAACGGAGCUACCGGAGGUCGCCGCCGCCGCCGCCGCCGCCGGCCGUGGUUCUAGGGAGAAACUGAAUUGGCCCGCGUCGGCCUGUGCUGAUGUGGCAGGACAUGUAGUCGUGUACGUAUGUGGGCCUGCCGCAGGACCGUCGAUGGACCAGUUUCGCAAGAUAUGUUUAGGUAGAAGAACUGGAAUAUAUUACUCAAAGCACCAAAGGCGAAGUUACAAGAGAGGGAAAGGUAUUGGUGUUCUUAAACCCAACAGGUCAUGUGAAACUCCCAUGGAUCUAGCUCCGCCUUUUACUACUGGCCGGAUGGAUGGUCGGACUCACCACCAAGCAAGCUCGAUCUCCGCCGCAUCUUCUGGAUUUCACCGUGAUCCCUCACUGCAGGAAAAUCGUUCUCGGCCCUCAUGGUGGAGUGGACCAUGUCCAUGCGCGUGGCCCUCCUGGUUUCGCGUUGGCAAGGAGGAUUUGUGGCGCGUGGACUCCAUCGUGUACUCAUCUGCUAUGCCAUGCCAUGCCAUGCACCGUGAAUUCGUAUAUGGCGUAGUAGGUGGAGAAGUGGCCUCCAGCUCCCCUGAAGCGCAACGGGUGUCAGUCCUUCUGGGCACCAUCCGGUACGACUCCGGUCAGAGCACAUUUAAGUUUCGUGUACCACGGCAGAUAAAUCAUAAAUGUGCCCAUGCACUAAGUGAUGUUUUUCCCGGCAACUGCGGUGGCCCUCCAAGCCGAUGA